RNAcentral lists this small RNA (408 nucleotides) under Pongo abelii (Sumatran orangutan). RNAcentral's name for it is "processed transcript". The record is from RNAcentral. Lineage: Eukaryota; Metazoa; Chordata; Mammalia; Primates; Hominidae.
GCCCACCUGUCCUGCGGCACUGGAUGCUUUAUGCCUGUGAGGAGCCACCAACAUUUGAAGCCAUGGAGCUCAUUGGUAAACCAAAACCCUACUAUGACAUUGGUGAACGAGUAGAUUAUAAGUGUAAAAAAGGAUACUUCUAUAUACCUCCUCUUGCCACCCAUACUAUUUGUGAUCGGAAUCAUACAUGGCUACCUGUCUCAGAUGACGCCUGUUAUAGAGAAACGUGUCCAUAUAUAGGGGAUCCUUUAAAUGGCCAAGCAAUCCUUGCAAAUGGGACUUACGAGUUUGGUUAUCAGAUACACUUUAUUUGUAAUGAGGGUUAUUACUUAAUUGGUAAUGAAAUUCUAUAUUGUGAACUUAAAGGAUCAGUAGCAAUUUGGAGCGGUAAGCCCCCAAUAUGUGAAA